AGCGCGUGGUCUAAUGGUUAUGAUUUCUCGUUCACAAUACUGAAUGUUUCCCGAGAAGGUUCGGAGUUCGAUCCUCCGCGCGACUA
This 86-nucleotide transfer RNA is filed under the name Imshaugia aleurites. RNAcentral describes it as "tRNA-Val". The record is from RNAcentral. Lineage: Eukaryota; Fungi; Ascomycota; Lecanoromycetes; Lecanorales; Parmeliaceae.